Molecule: RNA transcript, 817 nt
Organism: Pieris rapae (cabbage white)
Lineage: Eukaryota; Metazoa; Arthropoda; Insecta; Lepidoptera; Pieridae
Gene name: cytochrome c oxidase subunit 7C, mitochondrial
Exons: 2
Source: RefSeq, a predicted model, not a curated record
GCUAUUUUUAGACUCGCAAUAAAUUCUUGCAUACAAAAUUCAAAUAAUUUAAUGUUGCUCUAAGAGGAGUGCCGAUUUGUACUCUAGGGCUCCACCCAAAAGCAUGCAAAAAAACAUUCAAAUCAGUGACAUACACAUUACACACGUACAGUGUAAUGAAAAAUUGAAAUCGGACAAGUAGUUUACGAGUCCACAGCGGACAAACAACGUGACCCGUAAUUUAUAUAACUGACUGAUAACAAAAAUUUAUUUUCCUUAAAACUUAUUCAGUACGAAUUAACAGUCUUAAUACCAAACAGUAGUUUAAUGUGUUUCCCAUCGUCAAUUUGAUUAUGAUAUUUUUAACAUAUCAAUUUUUAAUAUUAUAUUUACUCUAUUAGAUCCACUUCUUAUAAUUAAUAAGGACCUUUUAAGCCUUAUUUGAUUUGACCUCGAACAUAAUCCUGACUUUUAUAACUGAAAUACGUAAGCUCUGUCCAGUAUGAGUUACAUUUUGCUUAUCGCUACGCCUCGGGACAGACGUAUCGAUAUUUAUCAAUAUUUAUCUAAUCUACCUGGCUAAGGGAUUCAUUUAGAUCAAAUAACCAAAGCAACUAUGUUGGGUGUUGUAACCAAGUCAAACAUCCUUGGAAGGAAUGUGAUGAAAACUUUCAUCAGGAAUGGAUCCCAUGGAGGUGUUCCAGGGGAGAACCUUCCCUUCAACAUUCACAACAGAACACGAUUGACAGUAAACUUUUUCCUGUACAUCUUGACUGGUAUUUCAUCACCAUUUGUCAUCACAGCUUACCAAAUGAACAAAUAAAAGAAGCGAUGUAAG